GGGCCUAUAGCUCAAUCGGUCAGAGCCCCCGGCUCAUAACCGGGCUGUUCCUGGUUCGAGUCCAGGUGGGCCCACGA
This 77-nucleotide transfer RNA is filed under the name Sorangium cellulosum. RNAcentral describes it as "tRNA-Met". It matches the Rfam family "tRNA". Rfam says of the family: Transfer RNA (tRNA) molecules are approximately 80 nucleotides in length. Their secondary structure includes four short double-helical elements and three loops (D, anti-codon, and T loops). Lineage: Bacteria; Pseudomonadati; Myxococcota; Polyangiales; Polyangiaceae. The record is from RNAcentral. RNAcentral also lists the same sequence under 2 other names.